CCUACGGGAGGCAGCAGUGAGGAAUAUUGGUCAAUGGGCGAGCGCCUGAACCAGCCAAGUCGCGUGAGGGAGUACUGCCCUAUGGGUUGUAAACCUCUUUUGUCGGGGAGCAAAAGCCGGACGUGUCCGGCUGUGAGAGUACCCGAAGAAAAAGCAUCGGCUAACUCCGUGCCAGCAGCCGCGGUAAUACGGAGGAUGCGAGCGUUAUCCGGAUUUAUUUGGUUUAAAGGGUGCGUAGGCUGUGAGGUAAGUCAGCGGUGAAAUGCCCCCGCUCAACGGGGUGAAGUGCCAUUGAUACUGCCUGGCUGGAAUGCGGAUGCCGUGGGAGGAAUGUGUGGUGUAGCGGUGAAAUGCAUAGAUAUCACACAGAACACCGAUUGCGAAGGCAUCUCACGAAUCCGCGAUUGACGCUGAUGCACGAAAGCGUGGGUAUCAAACAGGAUUAGAUACCCUGGUAGUC
Molecule: ribosomal RNA, 460 nt
Filed under: uncultured bacterium
Lineage: Bacteria
Description: partial 16S ribosomal RNA
Rfam family: Bacterial small subunit ribosomal RNA
Source: RNAcentral